ACUCAUUUAUUCAAAUUGUGAAAGUAAAAUGACACGUGAAAGACUUUUUUUUAUGUAUAAUAAUAAUUUACAUUGUUUUUUGCUUUUCAUAGCACAAACUGAUUUAUUACAUGAAACAGUCCAAAAAUAGCUGGGUCGUCUGGGACGCAAAUGCAGGUUUACGACAGCAUCAUUGGUUUAAAUCCUUGUGUGUGUAUAUAUAUGAUUAUUUUGAUUAUUUGUUUUGCUUAUAGGAGAAUAAAAGCAAUAAAACAUCUUAUCAGGCCCUUCUUGCACAAGUUUGUCUUUCGGGGGAGUUUGAGUUUGCUGGAUUAUUAAUUAAAAAUAAUGAAUAAUUUGUGGCUGUCUGAUUGGUCCAGAUUCUACAAUGGUGUAAAUCCACAAAGCCUCUUAACUUUUCAUGCAUACAGACAUAAGCGCCGAUCCUGUGAGCACCCACAGAAAUGGUUGAGCACCCACAGAAAAUGAGAUAUUCUCCAUUGAUUUUUGACAGUCUAUGAUUUAACCAAUGAAAAUUGAUUGCAGCUUUCAGACAUGACUAUGUUCAUCUUUUUAUAGUUUAUUUGAGGCCGUUUCUAUUGUGCUAUUUUAAUGAAAAAUGCCAAGUAAUACGUGAGCACAAAUCUUUCAGCUCACAGGCGGAUCUCCUUCACUCUCGCUAUCAACUGGACACGCGCUCAAACUCUCUUCUCGCUCUUUCUCUAGAAUGGUCUUUUUAUUGUAAGUGGCGUGCUUAUUCUAAAUAGGUAUUUAUUGAUUUUUUUUUUUGUUUAUUAUUUAGUGAGCUGCUACUGAUCAUCAGAUAUCAGUGAGAGUGCAACUCGCGGCAACACUCAUGGAAAGAAUGUGUGUAAUUUGCAGGUGGUACAUGUCCCCACCAUUAUUGGCUAUCCUAUUUUGCUGCACGGAUAGCCUAUAAUGCAAAUGAAACACCAGUUGAUGUUCAUUUGUGUUAAAUAAGAAGCGAUCUGGUGCUGGAAUGUGUUGUUUAAAUCAUGCCGCUGUUAUCAGUGGCGGAUCGUCUUCACACAGACGAGCACGUCAAUCUAUCUCUAAUGGUGUUGUGGAAACUCUAUUCUUUGCAGUGAAAUCAUUAACAAAAUGCACACAAACGUGUCCCUGCUCUUGUCUCUUUAUAUACAUCAUAUAUCAUAUAUAUCAUUAACGAAUAUCUUUGGUGUUAUUGAGAAAGAAAAAAAACUAAUCAAGGGCGGAUUAGAACCACUGAUGAUUAAAACCCAGUACGUUUGACUCGCAUGGCAAAAGUUCUGCCACUAGACCAUAUGUGGAUAUCAAUGUUUAGCAUAGGUCUGUGUAUAUAUGCACUGGGCACCCACCGGCAGAAACAUAAAUCGGCGCCUAUGCAUACAGACACAAGUGUCAGUGAUUUUAAAAAAAAAAAAAAAAAAAAAAAAAAAAAAAAAAAAAACUAAAAUAGCAGAAUAUAAUAAAGACAUGUUAUUAUUUUAUGUCUGUACAGUAGCAUUAGAACAUUAAAAUAUGUACGUCAAAUUGAACCACAAACAUUACCAAAGUAACAAAUUUAGUGCGUAUAUUUCAAAACACAUCAGCGUGUUGAAACUUUGCAUGCAUGUUCAUGACCUUAAAUGAGGAAAAAGUCAUAGAAUUUCAAGAAAAAACAAAACAUAACUGAUGUUUCCUACAACUCAAAAAAACAAAAUAGGCCAAAUUGACCUGCAACAGUACACAAGGGUUAAAAUUAUUAUUCACAACUAAUCGAUCGUCUAUUAAUCGUCAGCAUCCCUAGUAUUAAGAUUCAAUCCUAUGUAAACUUCUGAACAGGAUCAUUUUUAUAAAUUCAGCCAUUAUUUUGUCUAGUGGACUAUAUGUAAACAUGUCUUAUGUGAGAUAGCAUAGGACAGUACUAAAUAUGAAAUAACAUCAAUCCCUCUCCACAUUUUUACAAAUUCUGCAGGGGUAUGUAAACUUUUGAGCACAAGUUGCACAACUGUACAUUAUCUCAUACUUUUAUUGCAGUACUGUAUUUUGUUAGUUUUGCAUUAUCAUUUGAGUAAUAUUUGAAAAUGUUUAAUGUCCAAUACAGGUGAAAUUAAUCGACCAUACGAGAUGUCCCAGGAGAAAUUUGAAGAUCUCAGUGAGAAACUGCACCAAAGCAUUGAGAAACUGAACUCAGAAUACAACAGAAAUCAUCUAACUCUCACAGAUCUAAUAAAGAAACUGAAUGACAUCACUGAUGAACUCGAAUCCAUGCACAAGAACACCACGAUGGGCAGUAUGGUAGGGGCGUCAAUAGGAGCAGUAGGAGGAAUUGCAUUGCUGGGUAUAGCUUUGGCCCCAUUUACAUUUGGUGCGUCUAUAGCUGUUACUGGUGCUACUGGUCUUACUGCUAUGGGUGUUGGAGUAGCUGGAGGAGUAAUAGGGGCAGCAUCUAACAUCACUAACAUGUUCAAGCAGAGCAACAUGCGCCAGACUAUUGAGAAGAUCAUCAAUGAUUUCCAGAACACCAUCAACCCAAUGAUUCAGCAUCUGAAUACAAUUUCUGAAACCAUAGAAAAGCUUGAGAAAAUCGAGCCAAUGCAUUCUCUUCAAAAUAAAGCAUUAGUGACAAGUGUGAAAGCCCUGAAAACCAUUUCAAGCGUUAAAAAACUUUUGUCUGUACUUCGAACUACUAAAAUUGGGAAAGUGUUCGCAAGAGCUACCAAAACACUUCAAGUGGUUGGGAAACUAUCUAUGACAAUUUCAGCUCUGUUUUUUGUUCUUGAUGUUUACACUAUUUAUUGUAAUUCAACAGAGCUCUCUGAAAUGAAAUCAGACAAAAAGAGAAAAGCAGAAGAAAUCAAAUCAGAAACUGUGAAAUUUAUUCAUCAAAUGAGAGAAACAGCAGCUCAAUUUCAGAAGACUCUGGAUGAAACUAAAUGUGCCAGAGACGCUAUUAACAGAGCUUCACAAAUCAGUCAAGAAGAUCAUUGAACUGCUCUGUGUGGUGUUGUCAAUUUACUGACUCUUUAAACUGAAAUCUUUAAAAACUUGGCAACAAAAUAAGGUUGAAUAUAUAUGUUUUUCAAUUAUUUUGUAACAUGUGACUAAUUAUUGUAGUCUUAAUAAUCCUUGUCUUUUUUCUUCUUUUUUUCUGGUUCUGUAUGAAAUUGGAUAAACUAUUUGCAAACAGUCUUUGUAUAAGCCACUUGCACUCGGGUUUAGAUCUGGUUAUAUCUUAUGACAUUCUAUGGACAACCAUUUUAUUUGCUGUUUUUGUUGUGCAUGUUACUGAUUUGUAAUGUAAAAACCAAAAUAAAAAAUCUAAUCUCAACCAA
Long non-coding RNA from Ctenopharyngodon idella (grass carp), 3296 nucleotides. RefSeq lists it as uncharacterized. The transcript is spliced from 2 exons. The record is from RefSeq and is a predicted model, not a curated record. Lineage: Eukaryota; Metazoa; Chordata; Actinopteri; Cypriniformes; Xenocyprididae.